UGGGUCCAGGAUGGGGCAUGCUGGGAACCAAAGAUUGUGAGUAACCCAGUUCCGUGUAGCUGAGGUCCAAC
This 71-nucleotide small nucleolar RNA is filed under the name Choloepus hoffmanni (Hoffmann's two-fingered sloth). RNAcentral describes it as "Small nucleolar RNA SNORD112 (ENSCHOG00000015757.1)". Lineage: Eukaryota; Metazoa; Chordata; Mammalia; Pilosa; Megalonychidae. The record is from RNAcentral.